CCCUUAGAUGUUCUGGGCUGCACGCGCGCUACACUGAAGGAAUCAGCGUGGCUCUGUCCCUGGUCCGAAAGGAUUGGGAAACCCGUUGAAUCUCCUUCGUGAUAGGGAUUGGGGCUUGGAACUGUUCCCCAUGAACGAGGAAUUCCCAGUAAGCGCGAGUCAUAAGCUCGCGUUGAUUACGUCCCUGCCCUUUGUACACACCGCCCGUCGCACCUACCGAUUGAAUGGUCCGGUGAAAUCUCGGGACGGCGGCUUGGUCGCUUGCGUCCGACUGCUGAAACUUGAUUAAACCAUAUCAUUUAGAGGAAGGUGAANUCGUANCA
RNAcentral lists this ribosomal RNA (323 nucleotides) under uncultured eukaryote. RNAcentral describes it as "partial 18S ribosomal RNA". It matches the Rfam family "Eukaryotic small subunit ribosomal RNA", at positions 1470 to 1796 of the family's 1831-position model. The record is from RNAcentral.